This 678-nucleotide long non-coding RNA is filed under the name Cricetulus griseus (Chinese hamster). Its description in RNAcentral is "lncRNA (ENSCGRG00015032683.1)". Lineage: Eukaryota; Metazoa; Chordata; Mammalia; Rodentia; Cricetidae. The record is from RNAcentral.
AGAUGUGGGAAGCAAGAGAUUAGGCAAUAACGGGAAAUGCCCCACUUCCUACUGUGGCCACCAGGAGGCACUGUGGAGAAAGAUAUGAGGGAUACGUGGGUCAAUACGCCAGAUAGGACAGCUACAGUCUCUGCCUUCCUGGUUUUAGCAGAUAAUUGCAGCAGGGAGAAGCUGUAUUUCCUCUCUGCCCUCUCUUGAGGGCUGAGGCCAGCAUGCUCACCCAGCAGACAUCUCCCUCUGCCUUUAAGAUGCAGCCAAGGUUUCUCCAGGAUGGCCAUCCUCCCCAAGGGGGCUGAUUGCUGGUACCCAGGCAAGAUGUCUCCUUUCUGAGUACUUCUGAGUGGCUUCCUCUCAGAAACUUCUAGUUGAGCUUCCCCAACACUUGAUAUUUCCCCUGCAGUGAACUGGACGCCCAGUGUUCACCCACUGCCAGGGGUUCAUCCUUUUAAAUCUCAGUGCCUUUUCAUGUUCAGGCAUACCUAUUAAAAGAUGAACACCCUGGAAAGUGCACCUUGUUAAGCUCAUAAUUUGCAAUACAGAACCCAGGCUUCUUGUUGCUUAAGGGCGAGCCCUGGAGUAAUAGAACUUAUCUUCCUCUAGUGGUAUCUUUCUGUGGUUGGCACACUUCACACAUCAGUCUUCAUGACAACCCUACAGGAAAGCCACGUGGUAAAAGAG